RNAcentral lists this microRNA precursor (150 nucleotides) under Vicugna pacos (alpaca). RNAcentral's name for it is "miRNA (ENSVPAG00000016755.1)". The record is from RNAcentral. Lineage: Eukaryota; Metazoa; Chordata; Mammalia; Artiodactyla; Camelidae.
AGAUGAUCAGAUAAAUCUGAAUUCCAGAUAAACAACAAAUAAUUUUUAGUAUAAGUAUACAGUAAGUAUGCACUAUUUGGGACACACUUACGCUAAAAAAUAAUUCAUCGUUUAUCUAAAAUUCAAACUUAACCAAGCAUCCUGUAUUUU